UACGUAGGGGCGAGCGUUGUCCGGAAUUAUUGGGCGUAAAGGGUUCGCAGGCGGUCUGAUAAGUCAGAUGUGAAAGGCAAUGGCUCAACCAUUGUAAGCAUUUGAAACUGUCAGACUUGAGUUAAGGAGAGGAAAGUGGAAUUCCUAGUGUAGCGGUGAAAUGCGUAGAUAUUAGGAGGAAUACCAGUGGCGAAGGUGACUUCUGGACUUAUACUGACGCUGAGGAACGAAAGCGUGGGGAGCAAACAGGAUUAGAUACCCUGGUA
This 266-nucleotide ribosomal RNA is filed under the name uncultured prokaryote. RNAcentral's name for it is "partial 16S ribosomal RNA". It matches the Rfam family "Bacterial small subunit ribosomal RNA", at positions 524 to 792 of the family's 1533-position model. The record is from RNAcentral.